CGGCCGCGGCGGGGCGGCGCGGGAACCGGGCCCCGGGGGGAGUCGGCCGGGCUGCUGCUGCUGCUGCUCCAGGACGCUCUGCCCCGCAGCGGGCUGAACCUGAAGGAGGAGCCGCUGCUGCCCGCCGGCCUGGGCUCAGUGCGCUCCUGGAUGCAGGGCGCGGGCAUCCUGGACGCCAGCACCGCGGCGCAGAGUGGCGUGGGUCUGGCACGAGCACAUUUUGAGAAGCAGCCUCCCUCCAACCUCAGGAAAUCCAACUUCUUCCACUUCGUGCUGGCCAUGUACGACCGGCAGGGGCAGCCCGUGGAGGUGGAGCGCACAGCCUUCAUCGACUUCGUGGAAAAGGACCGAGAGCCCGGGGCGGAAAAGACUAACAAUGGGAUCCAUUACCGCCUCCGGCUGGUGUAUAACAAUGGACUGCGGACGGAGCAAGACCUCUACGUG
Molecule: small RNA, 444 nt
Filed under: Pan troglodytes (chimpanzee)
Lineage: Eukaryota; Metazoa; Chordata; Mammalia; Primates; Hominidae
Description: processed transcript
Source: RNAcentral